UAAGCUUCCUAUUAGUUAAGAUUUUCUUCUUUAGGCCCCAACAUUCUCUUAAGCUUUAUACUAAAUAUUUAGGUCCUGUAUGUAUAUAUAUUUUUUUAAUGUCAAAAUCAAAGCAAGUUAAGAAACAAAGUAAAGUUCCUUAUACCAACUCUUUUUAAUUUAAUCUACUAGCCACUCUAACAUACAUCUAGAUUUAUUAACAUAUAAUAUGUUCUAACUAAUUUUUACAUAUUAUAAGCAUUUAUAGUACGACAUCGGGCAUCUGGCUGUGGAAGAUAAAACAAUAUUUUGUAAGUAUCCAAGUAAUCUAGUGGGUUUCAACCAUCUAAAUACAACUAUUUCAGAUAUCAAUGUAAAAGCUUAAUCCUAAUACAAAGUGCUUAGAAACACUUUUUUAAUAACUUCUAGAUAUUAUAAACAUAAAUUCUUU
Molecule: long non-coding RNA, 430 nt
Filed under: Physcomitrium patens
Lineage: Eukaryota; Viridiplantae; Streptophyta; Bryopsida; Funariales; Funariaceae
Description: long non-coding RNA (PPAT_LNC000866)
Source: RNAcentral